AACGAAAAAGUGUUUUCAACACCCACACGAGUAAUCAAAUAUUUAAAUAUAAAGUUCUUUAAAAUAAAUGGUAUGUAAUUUUCUAGUGUAUACAUUUUUGUAUACAUGAGAUCACUGCAAAUUAAAAAGUAAUUAAUAAUAUUUUAUUAAGUACUCUCAAAAAAAUUAGAUAACCUUUUU
RNAcentral lists this unclassified non-coding RNA (180 nucleotides) under uncultured SAR86 cluster bacterium. Its description in RNAcentral is "16S-23S ribosomal RNA intergenic spacer". Lineage: Bacteria; Pseudomonadati; Pseudomonadota; Gammaproteobacteria. The record is from RNAcentral.